AGUGAAGCGCAGGAAGUUCCAGCCUCAGGCACGUGAUGCUUAUGUGCAAACUGUGCAUGGGCAGAAUACAAAGGCUGUACAGACGUACGUCAAGAAACAAUCUACUGGUGUCCAAGCCAGCCCAUUGCCUUCAAGGGACAGCUGUGACCAAACCGACGACAUGCUGCUGUACAGUGACUGAAGUGCUACGAGAAGGAAGGUCUUUAUCCUCUUCUUCAAUGAAUGAAGCGAAUUCCCCGGGAGUGAAUCUGAGCAGGACGAAUCAUUUCAGCGAUGACAUAUCCAGCUCCGAAGACCUUGAGUAAGAUUUGCCAUCUGCACAAAUGAGUCAUCAUAUAUCUGCAUGAUGAGCUCAGUGUUGAUCAACGCCGACAAUGAAACACGAGUUGAAGCUCUGCAUUUUAAUGAAGUCGGCUGUAGAAGAACACUGACAGACUCCGCAAGUGUGGAAAGACUUUUGCAGAGAUUCCCCCCAGGGUGAAAAAAAUGGACUGCGGCUCCAGUGAAACAGAGCAACGUGUGAUUAUGCGCCUCCACUGCUGAGCAAUGUCGUGCAAUGCCCUGAGAAAUGGCCGUCAUUUUCAGCUACUGAAAAUGCAGUUGUGCAAAGCCAUCAUGACACGCUCUCGGCAAAGUAUGGUCCAAAGCCAUCGAUGGAAGAUGCAAAGAAGGGGCGAUAUUAACGCUUCAGACAUAAAUCAAUAGUUGAUCUGCGAUCCUACUGCCAUGUUUG
Molecule: long non-coding RNA, 733 nt
Organism: Rhipicephalus microplus (southern cattle tick)
Lineage: Eukaryota; Metazoa; Arthropoda; Arachnida; Ixodida; Ixodidae
Source: RefSeq, a predicted model, not a curated record